Molecule: unclassified non-coding RNA, 294 nt
Filed under: uncultured fungus
Lineage: Eukaryota; Fungi
Description: partial contains small subunit ribosomal RNA, internal transcribed spacer 1, and 5.8S ribosomal RNA
Rfam family: Eukaryotic small subunit ribosomal RNA (bases 1-73)
Source: RNAcentral
CCAAACUUGGUCAUUUAGAGGAAGUAAAAGUCGUAACAAGGUCUCCGUUGGUGAACCAGCGGAGGGAUCAUUACUGAGUUAUCCAAAACUCCAACCCUAUGUGAACUUACCACUGUUGCCUCGGCGAGCCGUGCUACCCUACAGCUACCCUGUAGCUACCCGGUAGCACAAAGACGCUCGCCAGAGGACCAAACCAAACUCUGUUUUACUACGUAUCUCUGAGUCUUAUAACUGAAAUCAGUUAAAACUUUCAACAACGGAUCUCUUGGUUCUGGCAUCGAUGAAGAACGCAGC